GUAGGGUUGGGGUUAGAAUUAGGGUUGGGGCCACCGCUGUCAGGGCCCCAGGUAGGGUUGGGGUCAGGGUUGGGGUUAGGGCCUUGAUUAGGGUCAGGGCCCAAAAUCAGGUUGGGGUCAGGGUUGGGGUUAGGGCCACAGGUGUGGCCAAGAUCUAAGUUAGGGUUAGGGUGUGGGCUGGGGUUGGGGUCAGGGCCUAGAUUGGGUUCAGAGUAGGGCUAGGAUGGGAAGGCCGCGCCUCCCCCGGGUGGCAUCAAGGGAAAAGGAAGCAAUACUAAUAUAAAUAUUUCAUUUAUAUGUGGGCUCCAGGACGAGAGGCAGCCAUGCAAGUGCUGUUGUCAAAAAUAAGUGCUUAAAAGACAUGCAUAAUAAAAUCCACAAAUUCACAUACACAUAUAUAAGAUCAAAAGAAAGGGAAAAAGAAAACUUUAUUCACAUGAUUAGUGAGCAAUUCAUCAAAAAGACCAUUAAAGGUAAAUCAAUUCAUUAUUGCCUCUCCCCUGGCCCCCCCAUAUAUAAAGUGCUAAUCCCCCCUCUAUCCCCCUUCACCACCAGGAGGAGCCCCACCUCCCCACCCUACCCCCUCCUUUCAUUAAGCCCCAAGGGUGCAAUUGUUCUUAACUUCAUUAUCCACACUCUUUCCCUCAUCCUCCUCUCCCCAUUGGACCACCCGGGAUUACUUUCCAAGCCUGACACCUUUAAACCAGAAACCGGAUGAAUUUGAAAAUGACUGGUAAGUUCAGUCUGUAGAUGAAAUCUUUGGAUGUUAUACAAGUGCUGUUUUAGCCGUGUUGCUAUGGUAUGCUGCGUCUCUCCUAUAUAAAGCUUGCCACAGGUGUUGCAGGUAAUUGCAUAAAUCACACUUCUGUCUGUAAUUGAUAUCUUUUUCCAGACUGGUGCUCCCUCCCCACUGUACUUAUUUACCAGAUAAGAACUGUGUUGAAAAUAUCUACGGACCCAUAAUUGUGAGUUAUCUAUGUUCGACGGUACACUGGACCGUACCAGUAGGUCCUUUAAAUUCUUGUUUCUCCUGAAGGCCGCAAUUAUUCUAUAUGGCUGAAAUACCGGUAAUUGAUUCUGCACAUUCCUAAAGUUAUUCCUAAUUUUUGAAAUCAAUGUUUUAUUGGACUCCGAAUAGGUGGUGAUAAAGGGAACGAUGUUCGUUUCAUCCUUCCUCUGCACCUGGGCCAAGCCUUUUAAAACUUCAGCUUUUGCAUAUCUUAAUAGCCUCUUCGAGUACCCCCUGCCUCGCAGCGCUUUAAACAGCGUCGUCGUGGCGAUUUCAAAAUCUUCCUGGAAGGUACAUAUUCUGUGGAAUCUGAGUAUCUGUGAUUUAACUAGGCCUUUAAAUGUAUGUUUAGGGUGAUAGCUCUGUUUAUGUAGCAAAGCAUGAGUAUCUGUACUUUUGAAAUAAACUUUCGUGGCCAAUUUGCUAUUAGCCGACUGUUGCGCAGUAAAGAAGACCGUGGUGUCUAAGAAAUUCACGGACCUCGAAUCCAGUUCAUAUUUCAACUUUAUUGAAGGAUGUCCGAUACGAUGGGUCGCCCCGGCGGGACCUCCCCAGGGACCGUCCAUGCCUUCGGAUCUUUAUGGAUCUUGGGUAAUAAAUAGAAGAUUCUGUUUCUAGAGUUCCCUAAUGGCUGCUCUCUGUACAGUAGAGAGAUUAUCUGUACGGGCUAUGGAACAGGCAUGGAUGUCCCUCCAGAGGUCCCGCCGGAUAUCCUGGUUGGGGAGAGGAAUAAAGGUUAGGCCUCUCUCCAACACUUCCACCUGUGCCUCGGAGAGCUGAAAGGUAAGUGAGAGGUUAAGCACAUUACUGUGUUCCAAGAGCUGGGGAGAUCGUGACCGCUUUUCCCCCCCUAGAAGUUUAACUGCCGGCACCAGUGCUGAAAUAUCCUAUUUGCCGUGGUUGGAGUCC
Megalops cyprinoides (Indo-Pacific tarpon) is the source of this 1918-nucleotide long non-coding RNA. RefSeq lists it as uncharacterized. The record is from RefSeq and is a predicted model, not a curated record. The transcript has 4 exons. NCBI's taxonomy places the organism in Eukaryota, Metazoa, Chordata, Actinopteri, Elopiformes, Megalopidae.